CUUAGUGCCCUGCCAUUUCUUCCCUCACCUUCUACCCUAUCCAUUCAUCCCUUUCUAUAUGAAACUCUGUGCCAUUGCAUCCCCCAAAAUUACCCAUGGGUAGACAUCUUCUUCUUCAUCAGUGUCAACUACAAAUGAACAGACCCCUCUCACCAGUCCCCACUACAGCAUCAUCUUCCUCUUUGCUCCUAUUUCUUCUCUCACUUGCUUCACCACACAUAGUCAAGCAUGAACGCCCACAUUCCUCUCUUUCUCGAUCCAGCAAUGCCUAUUAUCCAUCUAGGGUCAAACAAUUGAAUCUUCAACCAAUAGAAUCUUCAACCUAUUGAGUUUGUUGCUGAGAAGUUGAUUGUUACCUUCAAACAGUCGAAUUUCUGCCCCAAGCAUAUUCUGAAGUUUUUGGUGAGGAAAUCAACAAAUUGCAUUAAUUUAUUCAGGUAAUUUUUAAUUUUAAUUUAUGUUUAGAAUGUUAUGAUCUUAGACUACUGAAUGUGUAUUCUAUUGAUGUGUGUAUGAGAGUUGUCUCUUAGAGUUUAUAUAUUUAUUGUCAAUCAAUAAAAGCCGUACAGAUAUAGCCAUGGAUGUAAGCCUUAUUGGCUGAACCAUUAAAAACUUGAGUGUUUUUCUUUAUGGGAAGUGGUUGACCAUGAGUUGUAUCUAUUGCAUGUCUCCAUGGUAACAAUAAGUUUGUUUUCAUAGCAUCAGUAUUUUAGGUUUAGUUCAUAUUCUCUAAUUUUUGAAGCCUUUAAUUUCAGGUGCUCACUUUUAUCCUUGCAAAUUUAGUUAAGAAAUUUGCUUUUGAAAGUAGCUAAUAGCUAUAGAUUUGAGUGUGUCAAUUAUAUUAUUAAAUAUGCUUUUUCUUAUUAUUGCCUAAUAGCUACUAGAUGUUGAAUCCGCACUUCUGAUAUUGGGUGAGGUUUUUAGAUAUUAGAUUAGGCUUUACCUUUGUAGACCAAGAUGUUUGAAUCUUCUAAAGGCAUGUGAUGUGCUUGGAAUUUAAUGCAAAAUUGAUAAAGAUUAUGUUGA
Hevea brasiliensis (rubber tree) is the source of this 1026-nucleotide long non-coding RNA. RefSeq lists it as uncharacterized. The transcript is spliced from 2 exons. Lineage: Eukaryota; Viridiplantae; Streptophyta; Magnoliopsida; Malpighiales; Euphorbiaceae. The record is from RefSeq and is a predicted model, not a curated record.